This 24-nucleotide non-coding RNA is filed under the name Arabidopsis thaliana (thale cress). The record is from RNAcentral. Lineage: Eukaryota; Viridiplantae; Streptophyta; Magnoliopsida; Brassicales; Brassicaceae.
AAGUGAUCUUCAUUGUUGGCGCCG